This is a non-coding RNA of Oncorhynchus mykiss (rainbow trout), 9864 nucleotides long. The record is from RefSeq and is a predicted model, not a curated record. NCBI's taxonomy places the organism in Eukaryota, Metazoa, Chordata, Actinopteri, Salmoniformes, Salmonidae.
CUGGAUGAGUAGCAACAGCAGCAGCAGCAAUAGCACUAGCAGCAUCUCCUUUGUGGCUUUCUGGGGGGCUCGGUCACUAGAGCACCGCGCUCCCGCUCACAGACACACAGGCGCUCCCAGCGCCACCGUCACACACACGUAGUGGCAGUGGCAGUCGUCGUCAGAGCCGGGGCAGGGACAGGGACUGCUACCUUGACGACUGGAGCUACGGCGACAGCAGCUGCGGCACCAUGGCGCAAGCCGCCAAGCAGCUCCGUAAGAACAAGGACCUAGCGGAGCUCGCCGCUCAGGAGCUGAAGGAUAAGGAGGAGGAGAAGAACAAGAAGAGGAAUCGAUCGAGGGACCGCAGACGCAAGGCGGAUGCUGUCACCAGUUUCCUCCGUGCAGCCCGUUCAGGGAACCUUGACAAGGCUCUUGACCACAUCAAGAAUGGAAUAGACAUCAACACAUCAAAUCAGAAUGGGCUCAACGGUUUGCAUCUGGCCUCGAAAGAAGGCCACGUCAAGAUGGUCCUGGGGCUACUACACGCAGGCAUUGUCUUGGAGACCACCACUAAGAAAGGGAACACUGCCCUCCAUAUCGCUGCGUUGGCAGGCCAGGAGAAAGUGGUGGCUGAGCUCGUCAACUAUGGAGCCAACGUCAAUUCCCAGUCCCAGAAAGGCUUCAGCCCCCUCUACAUGGCUGCACAAGAGAACCACUUAGAGGUCGUUAAGUUCCUGUUAGAGAAUGGAGCCAAUCAGAGCCUUCCAACAGAGGAUGGGUUCACGCCGCUGGCGGUGGCUCUCCAGCAGGGUCAUGAGAACGUGGUGGCCCUGCUCAUCAACUACGGCACCAAGGGCAAGGUCCGUCUUCCCGCUUUGCACAUUGCUGCACGCAACGACGACACACGCACUGCCGCAGUACUGUUGCAGAAUGACCCUAACCCCGACGUCCUCAGCAAGACUGGCUUCACUCCUCUCCACAUCGCGGCUCACUAUGAGAACCUGAGUGUGGCCCAACUGCUAAUUAACAGAGGAGCCAAUGUCAACUAUACUCCCAAGAAUGGUAUCACCCCCGUGCACAUAGCUUCUAGGAGGGGUAAUGCGAUCAUGGUUCGGCUUUUGCUGGACAGAGGGGCCCAGAUAGACGCCAUGACCAAGGAUGAGCUGACCCCUUUGCACUGUGCGGCCAGGAACGGUCACGUGAGGAUCAUCGAUCUACUGCUGGACCAGGGGGCUCCCAUCCAGGCCAAGACCAAGAAUGGCCUGUCCCCCAUCCACAUGGCGGCCCAGGGUGACCACAUGGAUUGUGUGAGGCAGCUCCUUCAGUACAACGCUGAGAUCGAUGACAUCACGCUGGACCACCUGACCCCUCUACACGUGGCGGCCCACUGUGGUCACCACCGCAUGGCCAAAGUACUGCUGGACAAGGGGGCCAAGGCCAACGCACGCGCACUGAAUGGGUUCACUCCCCUCCACAUUGCCUGUAAGAAGAACCACAUGCGCUCCAUGGACCUGCUUCUGAAACACUCUGCCUCCCUGGAGGCCGUCACAGAGUCUGGUCUGACCCCCCUGCAUGUAGCAGCCUUCAUGGGCCACCUGAACAUUGUGAAGAACCUGCUCCACAGAGGUGCUUCUCCCAAUGCCUCCAAUGUGAAAGUGGAGACGCCCCUCCACAUGGCUUCCAGGGCAGGCCACUGUGAGGUGGCUCAGUUCCUGCUGCAGAACACAGCCCAGGUGGAUGCCAAGGCUAAGGAUGACCAGACCCCUCUGCACUGUGCGGCCCGUAUGGGACAUAAGGAGCUGGUCAAACUGCUCCUGGAGCACAAGGCCAAUCCUGACUCGGCUACCACCGCUGGCCACACCCCCUUACACAUCGCCGCCCGUGAGGGACACGCCCACACCACCCGGAUUCUCCUGGACGGGGCGGCCCAACAAACCAAGAUGACAAAGCAGAAAGGCUUCACUCCUCUCCAUGUGGCCUGUAAGUACGGCAAGGUGGACGUGGUCGAGCUGCUGCUGGAGAGAGGAGCCAACCCCAACGCGGCUGGAAAGCAGAACGGCCUGACUCCUCUACACGUGGCCGUCCAUCACAACAACCUGGACGUGGUCAAGCUGCUGGUCAGCAAGGGAGGCAACGCACACAGCACUGCCCGGAACGGCUACACUCCUCUGCACAUUGCAGCCAAGCAGAACCAGAUGGAGGCGGCCGGAUGCCUGCUGCAGUAUGGAGCCUCUGCCAACGCGGAGUCCCUCCAGGGGGUCACACCCCUCCAUCUGGCCUCACAGGAGGGCCAGCCAGACAUGGUGGCCCUGCUCAUCUCCAAACAGGCCAACGUCAACCUGGGGAACAAGAAUGGACUGACCCCUCUGCACCUGGUGGCCCAGGAAGGUCACGUAGGGAUAGCAGACACCCUGGUCAAACAGGGGGCAUCAGUCUACGCAGCCUCACGGAUGGGCUACACAGCGCUUCAUGUGGCCUGUCACUAUGGCAACAUCAAGAUGGUGAAGUUUCUCCUGCAGCAGCAGGCUCAUGUGAACAGCAAGACCAGAGUGGGUUACACUCCCCUGCACCAGGCCGCCCAGCAGGGUCAUACUGACAUAGUCACCCUGCUGCUCAAACACGGAGCCCAGCCCAACGAGAUCACCACUAAUGGGACCUCUCCUCUGGGCAUUGCCAAACGACUUGGUUACAUCUCUGUCAUUGAUGUGCUAAAGUUGGUCACCGAGGAGGCCGUUUCCGUGAUCACCACAGAGAAACAUCGGAUGAGUUUCCCUGAGACAGUAGAUGAGAUAUUGGAUGUUUCAGAGGAUGAGGGUGUCGCAGCGCUAACGUUAGGUGAUGAGUUGCUGGGGAUGGAUGGUGCUCGCUACCUGAAGCUUGACGACCUCAAGGACCAGGAUGAUGAUUUCCUGUCCCCUAAGAAGACCCUGAGAGACUUUGAGGGCGGCCUGGGCACCACGCCCUACUCUCCUGCAAUUCCCAGAAUCCCAUGCGUGUCCCCUGAAACUGUCCUGCUUGAGGGGCACACCCCUGUCCCCUUGCCUAAGGAGUAUGAUGAGGACUCUCUGAUCCCCAGCAGUCCUGCUACAGAGACCUCCGACAAUGUUAGCCCAGUGGCCAGCCCCAUACACACAGGGUUCCUGGUCAGUUUCAUGGUGGAUGCCCGGGGGGGCUCCAUGCGUGGCAGCAGACACCACGGGCUGCGUGUCAUCAUCCCCCCUCGGACCUGUGCUGCCCCCACCCGCAUCACCUGUCGUCUGGUCAAACCCCAGAAACUCAACACCCCACCCCCGCUGGUAGAGGGAGAGGGCCUGGCCAGCCGUAUCAUCUCUCUGGGGCCCUCCAGUAUGCAGUUCCUAGGGCCAGUGAUAGUGGAGAUUCCCCACUUCGCUUCUCUGGGUCGAGGGGACCGGGAGCUGGUGGUUCUGCGCAGUGAGAACGGCUCUGUCUGGAAGGAGCAUCGCAAUCGCUAUGGCGACGAGGUGCUGGAGACCAUUUUGAAUGGCAUGGAUGAAGACCUGGAGAGUCAUGAGGACUUGGAGAAGAAGAGAAUCCGCCGCAUCAUCUCCACGGACUUCCCCCUCUACUUCGCUGUGGUGUCCCGCGUCCAGCAGGAGAGCGACCUGAUUGGCCCAGAGGGCGGUCAGCUGGCCAGCAUGCUGGUCCCUCAUGUCCAAGCCAUCUUCCCUGAGACAGCGGUCACCAAGAAAGUUCGACUGGGGCUGCAGGCUCAGCCUAUCCCAGACGAGCUUCUGACUCGACAGCUUGGUAACCAAGCGACCUUCAGCCCAGUGGUCACGGUCGAGCCACGACGACGCAAGUUCCACCGGCCAAUAGGAUUACGCAUCCCGCUGCCCCCGUCUUGGAGGGAGAGUUCACGUGACGCUGGGGAGGGGGACACCACCAGCCUGCGCCUCCUCUGCAGUGUCAUUGGUGGAACAGCACCAGCCCAGUGGGAGGACAUCACUGGCACCACCAAGCUGAUGUACACCAACAACUGCGCCAACUUCACCACCAACGUCUCUGCAAGGUUCUGGCUGGCAGACUGCCCACGCACAGCUGAGGUGGUGACCUUCGCCAACCUGCUGUACCGGGAGCUGAUGGCCGUGCCCUACAUGGCCAAGUUUGUAAUAUUUGCCAAAAUGAACGAGGCACGCGAGGGCCGCCUACGCUGCUACUGCAUGACCGACGACAAGAUGGACAAAACCCUGGAGCUGCACGAGAACUUCAGCGAGGUGGCCCGGAGCAGGGAUAUAGAGGUGAUGGAGGGCAUGCCUCUGCACCUGGAGUGCUCUGGGAACCUGGUGCCUGUGAGGAAGGCCACUCAGCAGGCACGCAGCUUCAGCUUCCAAGCCUUCAGAGAUAACAGACUGCCCGUCUCUGUCAAGGUCAGAGACAGCAAUAAGGAAGCCUCUGGGUUCCUUUCUUUCCUGCGGAAGUCUACCAAGUAUGAGGAUGCACAGCACGUGCUGUGUAACCUCAACAUCACCAUGCCUCCCUGUGUCAAGGUUGUUGGGAGUGAGGAACGGAGGCGAACUCUGACCCCGUUGGCCCUGAGGGAGCGCUACAACGCUCUGAACGAGCCCGGUCUGGCUACAGUCAAUGUCAUGGAGAGGACCGAGCUCAAGAUCUCCCUAAUAUCCGAACAGCUGGGAUUGAGCUGGGCAGAGUUGGCACGGGAGCUGCAUUUUGGUGUGGAUGACAUUAACAGAAUCAGGGUGGAGAAUCCUAACUCCCUCCUGGACCAGAGUUCAGCCCUGCUCAAUCUGUGGGUUGGCCGGGAGGGCAAGAGGGCCAAGAUGGAGAGUAUAUAUGUAGCUUUGAAGAACAUUGACCGUUCAGACAUUGUGAGUUCCGUGGAGGGCCAGCCACAGGCAGGGGCCGGGGCCUCAGAGGAGGGGGCCUGCAGACUGGUUGACCACGACUCCACCCUGCUCUCCCCCAGUGUUAUCAAUGGUUACGGACUUGUGCAGGAAGAGCUGCUCUCCCCAGCCUCCAUGCAGUACAGUCUGCCCUCUCCGCUGGGAGCUGAGCCCUACUGGCAGGAGGUCUCCAGCCUGGAGUGUGCCCCCAUCGCCACCACCGAAGAAGACACCCUGAUGGAGAUGUCAGACGUGCAGGUGUGGCCCUCGGGGGUCAGCCCCUCCCUGGUCACAGUGGAGGACUCGUCCCUGGAUGGCAGCAGUCGGGCUGACGACUCAGAGGGGGCCACCCUGUCCCUGCCCUUCAGCCUGAGGCGCCCCAGCAGUGGGGCCAGUGGCUCCAUCAUGGAGCUGGAGGAGGAGGAAGAGGAGGAGGAGGAGGAAGGGGAAGUAGAGGAGGAGGCGCGGCAGGAGCUGGCGGACAGGGACAGGGUGAGGGCCAGCGGCGCCGUGCCAAAGGUCAACCUGAAUGGCCAGCUGGGAGGUCAGAGGUCGGAGGGCAGGAGGGUGGAGGUAGCAGCAUCAGUGGUGGGCAGCAGUGUGACUGGAGGAGGAGCGAGGGGAGGAGGAGGACUAAGACAGAGUUCAGAGGAAGGGCUUUCUGUUGUUGCAGGGCAGCAGGUUUAUGCCCAGCUGUGUGAGAUGUCAGGACUGAGCCGAGCAAUGGAGCACAAUGGAGACAACAGGGUGGUUGGGGGCGGUGCUUUCCAGCCGUACCUCCCCAACAAGGACUCCCUGCGCGGCUGGGCAGGGUCGCAGGCGCCCAGGCUGCCCCGGCAGAGUGUGGAGACGCUGAUGAUGUCACCAAGGUCUCGUGUACCCCAAGAGGCUCUGCUGACACCGGUGUGUGACUUGGGGGCAUUCGGAGGUGCUGUGCAGGCACCUGUUUGGGACACAGCCCUUCGACAAGGUGUUGGGCUUCUCACCAAGAGGCAGGGCUCCAGGUUGUCAUGCCUACCGACCACCUGCCGCUUCCUGUGCCUGGAGCAGGGACUUCCUGUCCAUGCCUGCGAUAGAUAGGGCAAUCUUUUAAUUUGGUUUCAAUCAUAAAAAUUCCAACCAUCAAAACCCAAAUGUUGACGUUAUGGCACGUCAUUAUCUGAAAUUGGCUUAAUGGGGCAAAGUUGUGUUGUGUGGUUUGUAAACCUGUGUACUAAUGUCAUGUGGUUAUUGUAUGUGUUUUAUCCUGAUAUUUUGACACAGAUUGAUGCUGAUAAAGAGGACUAUGCUGUUGAGUUCCUGGCUGAGGAGCAGUUGGUGGACGAACAUGGAAACGUUGUCACUAGGGAGGUGGGGGUGGAUGUGAGGAAGGGUGCUCAGUCAGUGAAGCGCACCAGUCUGCGGAGAGUAAAACACUGAAACACACAUACCCAGUCCUCAAGAACCGGACAUCCACUGCCAAACCAUCCUCCACAAACAAAACGCCAGGUGACAGAGGACAACAGGGAGGAGACUAGAGAAGACUGAAGGACUAAGAUCAGCAAACAACAAAUACAAACACAACAUCAUCUGCAGAAUGACCCUGGAUCGCCACAACAAGAAGAAACGAGAAGGAGAUCUACUUGUAGUUUUGUAACAUAAAACAAAGAUACUUAACUAGAGUAGGGCAUGAUUUUUUUCUAUAAAACGUCAUAAAAUCCAACCAGAAAAAAAAGCAACAAAAAAGUGCUUCCUGUCAACUGUAAUUGCAUGAUUGACUGCUGGUGCAUGACCAUUGACCUUUGAACUGUCAUUAUCUACAAACUCAAUUGGUACAAGUUAUGGGGCCGACCCAGGACUGACUGGGUCAGGGACGAGUUUAAGGACCUCCCACCCCCCCGCCCAAAAGGAUUGGUUGGUGUUAGCAAGUUGAGUCUGGUAACACUACUGCCAAAAAAGCUAAUAUUGUUUCCGUCUUCAGAUUGCUAUGAUACAGUCAAUCCAAUGCUGAGCUUACCAAUGCUCCUUUCACUUGGACCCUAUUUCCUUGUUAUUCUAUGUGAUAUAUGCACUAUGCUCUGUGGAUGUGUGUCUGUGUGUGUAUGUGUGUGUAUUUCUACCGCAUGUGUUCUCUCGCUUCUGGCUUGGCACUGAGCCGUGUCCUGAUUGGUCAGUGCUCCUGUGAUGUCACGGUGUGCUCAAUGUGGGAAUGAGAAACUCACCGUGCUCCCCUACUCGGGAGCGUCUGUCUGUGUGUGACGUCUUUCCUUUGUGAACGCGCUUCUCGUGUUCCUUUAGCUCUGUUCACCCCAGUUCCACUUUGUCUGGCUUUGAUAGGGACUAGCUUCCUCCCCCUGUUUUAGGAGGGUGUGCUUUAUUCAGACAAUGGGAAUGUUUUUCCAGAUGGGAACAAAAAAAAAGUUUGUCGCUUGAUAGCAUUGCGUGGCAGCCAGUGUAUUCUAACAUUAAUGUCCAACAACACAUCCCAGAUUUACGGUAGCAUGGGGUCCCCUUCCCCUCCUAUCCCCCCUCUGCCAUGUUGACACCACACUCCUCUCCAUCAACUCCUGUAGCUCCAACUUAAAUCUCUACCCAAUCAGCUUCAUCCACGCACUCUCUCAUCUUCUCUCCGUUUGCUGUGGCUAUAGCACCUCACGACAUCUCCCUUUUGUGGUUCACAUUCAAUUGUGCUUUUGUUUUGAGGGGGUGAAGCAGACGGGAUUAAUGAUCAGUGUGGAUAUUCAUAUUCAUGGGAAAGAGAUGGAGGUAAAUGUGGAGGUUUAGAUGGAAUGCUAGAGACUAGCAUAGCUAAGCAAGUAAGGACAGACUGACAGAUAGCACUGUGAUCGCCCAAUUUAACACUGACCCAUGAGCCCAUGUACCCUGUACUGUGAACUUAUAGACACACACACACACACCACAUAAAUGCAUACACACACACAAACUCACACAUAUCCUUAAUACACACAUGCACACGCACAUACAGUAAUUCAUUUAUUGUGCCCUAGUUGUUAUGAGAAGCCUGGUCGGACUCAGAUUAUGUACUUUGGUGUCUGCCACAGCAAUAAUAUCAGACAAGAAGGGAUAUAUAUAUAUAUAUAUAUAUAUAUAUAUAUAUGUGUGUGUGUGUACAGUGGGAGGGUGGGUGUUCUGUAUCUGCACAUUAUGGUAGCAUUUAAAGCAUUUCUCUCUCUGAAAUUGGUGCAGACAAAUCAGAAGCAUGCAUGUAUACAAAAGGUACAAUCCAAGACGGUAUACAAACAGUUUUCCCCUCACAAAUGUGAUCCUUUCAAAGCAUUCACGAUUGACAUUUCGUAAUGGUAGCUCCUCUGUUCCUCUGACCUUCAUGUUGUUGUAUUAGCAUGGUGGCACUGCCACCUGGUGUUACAAAGAGGUAUCACAGACUAGAUAACUGGAUUAGCGCAGCAGCAGCUGGGGGGCAAUAUAGUAAAGGUUUCGGGAAAGGAUUUGGUCCAGCACUUAACGUAGCAGAUAUUACCCAGGAUAUGCUAACUUCAUACAUUGAAUCUUAGGAAUGGAUCUCUCAUGGUAGCAUUUAUUUACUAUUUAUGUAUGUAGUGUGGUUGGAGUGAAUGUGACUGAAUGAUUUAGUGAAUAGAUUAGUAACACGUCACCGACACGUAUUCCCUGCCAAUCAGUGCACAUUAAAACCUCAUCUGUUAUGCCACAUAUAUCACAUAUCACUUAUCAUUCACUCUUAUUCCACUCAGGUUUCAGUUCUAGCAGGAUCCAAGUUUUGCCCUGUUUUUGAGUUCAGAGCCCUCUGUAGAAAGAGAACCAUGGGUGUCAACAUGAGUGCUGCGGAAUCAGUUUGGGUGUGUGUGUGUGUGUGUGUGUGAGAGAGAGAGAAUGUGGUGGAGGGGUCAUUGGUAACAGGUGAGGUGUAAUUAUAAAAGGGUAGCCUUUAGUUAGUAUGUUGGUGGAUUCGCUAGGUGAAAGGUCCGUGGUCUUUAAGCCUCACCUCUCCAGGUCACCUAAUUUAUCUUAAAACAGCAGUGUAGCUGAUUGACUUAUGUUGCUGCUUUGGGUCUGAAUAGGCUAAUGACGAAGAAAAGUGAGACUCUCAAUCAGCAAUUGAUAAGUCAAUCAACCUAUCAAUCAGGUUUUCCACAAGAACAAGACACUGAUACCUGAUAUGGAUGAGAUAUAGAGACCAUAGUCCUGAAAGGUAUAUUCAAAUGGAUGUACAGCAUGUUUGAUUAAUCUCAGAUGAAGGGGAUCUGUGUAUGUGGGUUUAGAGGUUGACAAGAUCAAACUGAAAGUUGAGCCGGUCCACAAGCCUUUGCACUGUGAGAACUGUAGACUCCGCCAGUAUGUGUGUGCAUGUGUGUGUGCUUGUGGUGUUCAGAAGGUUGAGGAGGAGAGAUGGACAUGGUUUUAAAACUUGGGACACAACAUGAAGACAUGGAAAUGAUCAUGUAUUUUAAAGAGUAUUUUAAAAUUACUGUUGCAAAGAAUAGAGAUCACCUAUAAUCCUUUAGAAUGGAAACGUGACAAUAUUAACGCAAUAUGAUAUUACUCUAUACUAAGGAAUGCAACUGCACACAUGCACAGAAAAUGUUUUUAUGAAAAUAUAUGUAUAAAUAUAUGACAAAAUAUAUUUCAUUAGAAUGCUAUGCACCCUUAUAGAGUUGUUAUGGAUGUUCUUUAAGCAUAUUAACUAGACUAUAGUAUAGGUAAACGGCCACAUCGUGGGGAAUGUAGAGGCUUUGUAGGUAUUUCAAAUUGUUUUCUUUUCUUUUUUUUUAUUGUCAUGGAGAGAGGAAAAACAAACGUGAAUAUGUAUUCAAGCCUUUGUUUCAAUCAGAUUUGAUUCUGACAUGAAGAUAUGUAUAGGUCAUCUACUCUGUACACCAGCUCCAACCAUUUACAGAAAUGAAUAAAGAUGUGAACAUACCUGAUGUGUUCUCUUACACAUUUUGAUGUGUUUGAGAAUCAAAUGUAAAUUGAUGUACGUUUGUAAAUGUAAAUUGUAAAUCUAUAUGUAUGUGUAUAAAGGUAAGUACAUUGGUGCAAAACA